AACUUUCGACAAUGGAUCACUUGGCUCUCGCGUCGAUGAAGAACGCAGCGAAAUGCGAUAAGUAAUGUGAAUUGCAGAAUUAAGUGAAUCAUCGAAUCUUUGAACGCACCUUGCGCCCGUUGGUAUUCCGACGGGCAUGCCUGUUUGAGUGUCUUGAAAUCAUCAACCUCCCCGUUUUGCGCUGGGUUCUCGGUUGGAGUUGGGGGGUUCUUUGCUGCCGAAAGGCGGCUCCCCUUGCAUGCGUCGGUUGGGUUCCUUAGGCUUUUGCGUCGAAAUGGGGCGUUGUAUCAUCCUCGCUCUCGCUAGACUGCGGCUUAGGUUUUGUUCCCUUCCUUGACUUAGCCUCUGGAGUGGCGGUCGAUACCAAUUGAAUUCUGACCUCAAAUCAGGUAGGACUACCCGCUGAACUUAAGCAUAUCAAUAAGCGGAGGCU
This 433-nucleotide unclassified non-coding RNA is filed under the name uncultured Basidiomycota. RNAcentral's name for it is "sequence contains ITS2". The stretch from base 1 to 154 matches the Rfam family "5.8S ribosomal RNA". Lineage: Eukaryota; Fungi; Basidiomycota. The record is from RNAcentral.